Molecule: ribosomal RNA, 433 nt
Filed under: uncultured bacterium
Lineage: Bacteria
Description: partial 16S ribosomal RNA
Rfam family: Bacterial small subunit ribosomal RNA
Source: RNAcentral
AACGAACGCUGGCGGCAUGCCUAACACAUGCAAGUCGAACGAGACCUUCGGGUCUAGUGGCGCACGGGUGCGUAACGUGUGGGAACCUGCCCUUAGGUUCGGAAUAACUCCCCGAAAGGGGUGCUAAUACCGGAUAAUGUCUUCGGACCAAAGAUUUAUCGCCUUUGGAUGGGCCCGCGUUGGAUUAGCUAGUUGGUAGGGUAAAAGCCUACCAAGGCGACGAUCCAUAGCUGGUCUGAGAGGAUGAUCAGCCACACUGGGACUGAGACACGGCCCAGACUCCUACGGGAGGCAGCAGUGGGGAAUAUUGGACAAUGGGCGAAAGCCUGAUCCAGCAAUGCCGCGUGAGUGAUGAAGGCCAUAGGGUUGUAAAGCUCUUUUACCCGGGAUGAUAAUGACAGUACCGGGAGAAUAAGCUCCGGCUAACUCCGUG